AGUGAACGCUGGCGGUAGGCCUAACACAUGCAAGUCGAACGGCAGCACAGUAAGAGCUUGCUCUUACGGGUGGCGAGUGGCGGACGGGUGAGGAAUACAUCGGAAUCUACUUUUUCGUGGAGGAUAACGUAGGGAAACUUACGCUAAUACCGCAUACGACCUACGGGUGAAAGCAGGGGAUCUUCGGACCUUGCGCGAUUGAGUGAGCCGAUGUCGGAUUAGCUAGUUGGCGGGGUAAAGGCCCACCAAGGCGACGAUCCGUAGCUGGUCUGAGAGGAUGAUCAGCCACACUGGAACUGAGACACGGUCCAGACUCCUACGGGAGGCAGCAGUGGGGAAUAUUGGACAAUGGGCGCAAGCCUGAUCCAGCCAUACCGCGUGGGUGAAGAAGGCCUUCGGGUUGUAAAGCCCUUUUGUUGGGAAAGAAAAGCAGCAGGUUAAUACCCCGCUGUUCUGACGGUACCCAAAGAAUAAGCACCGGCUAACUUCGUG
RNAcentral lists this ribosomal RNA (492 nucleotides) under uncultured bacterium. Its description in RNAcentral is "partial 16S ribosomal RNA". It matches the Rfam family "Bacterial small subunit ribosomal RNA", at positions 29 to 507 of the family's 1533-position model. The record is from RNAcentral.